ACAGUUCUGGAGACCAGAAGUCCAAAAUGAAGAUGUUGGCUGGGCUGUGCUCCCUUUGAAGGGUCUAGAGGAGAAACCACUCCUUGCCUCUUCCAGCUUCUGGUGGCUGCCAGCCUUCCCGACUGCAUCACCCCAGUCUCUGCCUGUGUCUUCACAUCACCAUCUCCUCUUUGCAGGAAUCUAUGAUGGUUGCCACUUCCUACUCACCACAGCCAAUCAGCAUGAUGCUAACCAUGUAGUGGAACGAAGUGAUGUCUUCUGGCAUGAUGAGACAGACAAGGUUCCUGUGGACUAGAUUAUUACAGAAAACUGGAUAGCUGAGGUCCCAUCCUUUCAUGAUCAAUGCCACAAAUUUCACACAGGAAACCACUGAGGCUGUGAAAUCAAGUUGUAAUUCUGCAAUCCAAAGGAGCAAACUUUAAAUCUUGUUUUAAGGCAUUUUAAGUCUGCAGCUAAGAUAUAUAAAAGGGUCUCUUGGGCAGGGGGUCAGGGCGGGUCAUAGAAGCUGUCUGCAACUUUUUCCUUGCCCUAAGCCAAGAAUUUAAAAUAAGAGCAAACACUAUUUCUGUAAGCUCUUCAGUGCUAUAGGAAGCAAUCCUUCCACUCAAGUUUUCUCUGUUUCUUAUUUGCACCACAAUAGUGCAAUGCAGCAGCCAGUCUGUCAAAGGCUUGUCUUCAAUAGCUAUUCCAUCCUAUGUGGCCAUAGGUGAUCAUUUAGCUAUUUGCUUCACGGAAAACAGUAUCCCAUUUCCCAGUGGUCAUGAAGUUAUCACUGCCUAUAAACUCAACUAAGUCAGAUAACCAAUGUCAUAUUGUAUUUAAAAGUCAAUUUCUUGAUCAAAUUUUGGUACUGAAUACUGAGCUAGGUAAGGUUCAUCACAUAUAAUAGAUACCACUCAAGGUAUUCAAGCAGAAAAUCUUUAAUUCAAAAGAGUAGAUGUUUAUAAAAUUAUUGGUAACUUGGAGGAAUAAAAGUCAGGAGGCUAUCCUUAAUCUUUAGCUUCAAAUUCAUACAACCACAUCUGUCAUAAGUGCCAUCACCAUUAGCACUGUCUGUAUUCAUAAAAUUGAUGCCAAGAUAGUGGAACAUGUUAUCCAACUGUUUCCAACACUUUUGUCUGUAGGAGCCCACUUACAUAAUUGUGCUACUACAGAAAGGUGACACCCACCUCCUUCAGCCUUUGUAAAAUUUCACGAGUGCCUCACAUUGACAAAACCUAAACUUACGAGGGGAUCACAUGGGAAUCUGAGAAAUGUAAUUUUUAGUUCCCCAAACUCUGUAAUACUGAAGGAGGGGAGAAUGAGAACACAUCAAAGGGAAAGGAAUGGAUUCGUAGUGCCCAUAAACAGCUACUACACUAACCUAAAGAUGACGCCUGAUUUCUGAAGUAGUUAAUAUUUGGGGUAGACUUCAGGAUGUAAGCUCCAAAUCUCAACUUUUAACGAUAAAUUAGAAAUUUGUUACCCAAAUUCAUCUGGCUGCUCUUUUUCCUCAUGAGUUCCCAUAUUACUUUUAUUUCUGGAGGAAAGAUUAGGUACCACUUUACAAGGGCUGGCAGUAAUAAUUCAAGCAUAACAAAAACAAAUGUUGAAUAAAUAUAGCUUUGAAAAGCAGCUUUUCUUUUGCGAUUAUGUCUUUAUGACAUUUUUACUGAGAUCUGAAAUCACAAUAUAUUGGAAACCUAACUGUAUCAUGUACAACUGACAAACCCUAACUAUAUAAUAUGCUUAUAAAAAUUGUAAAUGUAUUUGAUCCCCAGAUUUAUUAAUUAGAACACAAGCCACACUCUCAGGUGAGGUGUGACUGUUGCUAACAUAAUGCUAUCUAUCGUAUAAGACUCAUAAUCUACCCACCCUCUAAUUACCAAAUAGCAAGCUAAUCAUUAUUCUUGCAAGACUGGUUCCUAGGACAGCUUCCUCACAGGGAGGAGAAACUCAGUUGAAAUAUAAUGCAUCAUGAAUGACAAAGAAGGGAUUUCAACUGGAUGCUCUCUUUUUUCUCCCAUGGCAAAUUCAAUGAAAAUAAAAUUUAACUGAGAAAAGGGGCAAUCUGACUGGCUUCUAUAAAAUUGUAGAAAAGGGAUUCAGGAAUACCUAAAGACUGACAGAGUACAUGGAAUAUGUACAUGGACUGAUGAAAUAUUCUUUAUAACAAUCUUGUAUUAAAUUGAGAAAUAAUAAUUUCAAGAUCCUAUGUUUUUAGAAAUAGCCAUAUUAUUUAAACCUUUCAAGAUUUUUUGUAUUUAGGAUGGCUUUUAAUUUGGACAUAUUCUGUAUAGAUGUUCAAAAGCAAUGUGACCUUCUGAUAGCUGCAUUAUAAUUAGAUAUUAAGUGAUGUGUUUCAGCGUGCACUUUUUCUCUCUCAAAGGAGAUACUACUUUAUUAACACAUUCCCUGGGAUAACCUCAUGUAUGAGAAUGGAAAAAAAAAAAAAUCAAAAUCUAAGUUGAGUUUCUAUUUAAGACCAGAUGGGUCUCCAAGGAAGAAAUGAACAAAAAUUUGCUCAUGUGUAUUGAUGUGUAAACAUGCUUUGUGUGGUAAAUUGAAAAAGACAAGAAAAAAAAGGAAAAGGAAAAAAACAACACCCUAAUUAAAAGAAAAAGAUAGAAGAAAGUUUAAUUUCUCAAAGGAAACAGCAAAACCGACAUUUCUAAGUCUGAAAGAACACCAAGGGGUGACUGACUCAUAGCAUUCCCAUUGAUCAUCUAAAGACAGCUCUGGAUCCCCUUCUGGCUAAGUCACAAGGCUCUUCCAGUGAUACAUUCUAAAAUCUUACAAUCUUCAUGUGGCAGUGGUUCUAUAUAUCAAUUAUUUUAAAUUUAGGUUUUUUAAUCUCCUCCAGGAUUCACAGCCUCCUAUGAAAACAAAUUCAAAAGGAUCUUUGCCUUUCAAUUCACAGCUGUGCCUUCCCCUCUGUAAUUUAUAGGAAAACUAACUUCUAACACUUACAUGAUUUGUAGUAUUUUGAAACAAAAAUAUUAGGUUGGUGCAAAAAUACAACAAAAAAGGAAUCCAUUUCUACUUCUCUUCCUUUUCACAAAUAUUCUUGUCAUUCAGAAGUUAUCUGCCUAAAAUACAAAAGACUAAGCAUGGAUUCUAAAUUACACCACUAAUAAGGACUUGCUAAGGUCACUUGCCAAAAUUACUUGCACGCUGAGUGGCAGGUGACCAAUUUCCUUCAGCAGGUUUUAUGAUUACUGCUCAGAUGUUGUGUGUUGUGUGCCUGUGUACAGAGCUCAGUAUCAGUCUCUCACCUCUGCUGCCCUAUUUACCAUCUGGCAGGAUGCUGAAAUCUGCCACCCAGGUCCAUGCUGAGCAGGCCAGCCAGCACACAUCCUGGUUAGCUGUAGCUGUUUUUUUCUUAGUAAGCACGGUGUUAUGAGUACAGCUGGCUGAGAUUAUGGCUAUAACAAGGAAAGAACUGGGAGAGUGUGAACUCUUCAGUGUGGUGUCUCAUUCUGAAGGUGAGAGAGAUUCAAAAGUUCUGCUCCAAUAGUCAAUAUAUAGUAUCUGACUUGUAUUGUCAAAUAGAUAAUACAACAAAAAUCACUUAUACCUCUAUGUUCUCUUUCCCAUUUACAGGGUAGCUGAGUUGCAUAUAUGAAACAAGCCUGUAAAUUAAAAUAUUCCUAAUAAACUAAAAGCACUGCUAGAUUCCAUGUUCUAAAGUACAAACAUAAUAAUCCAUGUUAAAAUAUUUUUGAAUACCUUGAGAGCAUGCACAACAAGAGAAAGAGAAUGAAUUAAUAAUGUUAAAACUAAAACUAGUCAUUUGUUAGUUUCCAUCAGCAAAACAGUCAAAAGUAACAGACUUGGGAGGCCAAGGCAGGAGGAUUGCUUAAGGUGAGGAGUUCAAGACCAGCCUGGGCAACAUAGUGAAAUCUCAUUUCUACCAAAAAAUGAAGAAGUAACAAAGGAAAGAGAAA
RNAcentral lists this long non-coding RNA (3926 nucleotides) under Homo sapiens (human). RNAcentral describes it as "HSALNT0108966". Lineage: Eukaryota; Metazoa; Chordata; Mammalia; Primates; Hominidae. The record is from RNAcentral.